Molecule: ribosomal RNA, 773 nt
Filed under: uncultured Neocallimastigales
Lineage: Eukaryota; Fungi; Neocallimastigomycota; Neocallimastigomycetes; Neocallimastigales
Description: partial large subunit ribosomal RNA
Rfam family: Eukaryotic large subunit ribosomal RNA
Source: RNAcentral
UAUCUCUGUAGAGUCUGCAUAUCAAUAAGCGGAGGAAAAGAAACUAACUAGGAUUCCCUCAGUAACGGCGAGUGAAGCGGGAAGAGCUCAAAUUUGAAAUCUUCAAGGUUUUACCUUGACGAAUUGUAGUUUAAAGAAGUGUUUUCUGUUGGUGUUUUGGUAAAAGUUCUUGGAAUAGGACAUCAUAGAGGGUGAGAAUCCCGUAUUUGACCAUUACUUCCAGCGUUGUGAUACACUUUCAAAGAGUCGGAUUGUUUGGGAAUGCAGUCCAAAAUGGGUGGUAAAUUUCAUCUAAAGCUAAAUAUUGGCGAGAGACCGAUAGCGAACAAGUACCGUGAGGGAAAGAUGAAAAGAACUUUGAAAAGAGAGUUAAACAGUACGUGAAAUUGUCAAAAGGGAAGCGUUUGACACCAGUGUUGUUUUCUCGAAAAUCAAUUAAAAAAAGUUGGAUUUUGUAUUGUUAAGACCUUAUCAGCUUACUGUACUCUUUUCUUGCUUUUUUUAAUGCACUUUUCGUUUAACAAGUCAACAUCAAUUUCUUUUGUUGUAAAAGAGUCAUUGGAAGGUGGCUUUCACUUCGGUGAAAGUGUUUAUAGCCUUUGGCUUCUGCAAUCGGAGAGAUUGAGGUCUGCAGCGUAGAUCCUUCGGGGCUAGAUACGUAGAUGCUAAGUUAUAGUUUUUUAUAGACAACUUGUUGACUAUAAUUAAUCAUGUAGCUUACUCGUUUGCGCUAUUUUACCUACGCUUAGGAUGUUGAUAGUCACAGCGUGUAC